UGAGGAAUAUUGGUCAAUGGGCGAGAGCCUGAACCAGCCAAGUCGCGUGAGGGAAGAAUGGUCUAUGGCCUGUAAACCUCUUUUGUCAGGGAAGAAUAAGGAUGACGAGUCAUUCGAUGCCAGUACUUGACGAAUAAGCAUCGGCUAACUCCGUGCCAGCAGCCGCGGUAAUACGGGGGAUGCGAGCGUUAUCCGGAUUUAUUGGGUUUAAAGGGCGCGUAGGCGGGACGUCAAGUCAGCGGUAAAAGACUGCAGCUAAACUGUAGCACGCCGUUGAAACUGGCGCCCUGGAGACGAGACGAGGGAGGCGGAACAAGUGAAGUAGCGGUGAAAUGCAUAGAUAUCACUUGGAACCCCGAUAGCGAAGGCAGCUUCCCAGGCUCGUUCUGACGCUGAUGCGCGAGAGCGUGGGUAGCGAACAGGAUUAGAUACCCUGGUAGUCCACGCCGUAAACGAUGCUCACUGGAUCUUGGCGAUACACGGCCAGGGUUCAAGCGAAAGUAUUAAGUGAGCCACCUGGGGAGUACGUCGGCAACGAUGAAACUCAAAGGAAUUGACGGGGGCCCGCACAAGCGGAGGAACAUGUGGUUUAAUUCGAUGAUACGCGAGGAACCUUACCCGGGUUUAAAUGUAGAUUGCAUGAGGUGGAAACACUUCUUCCCUUCGGGGCUAUUUACAAGGUGCUGCAUGGUUGUCGUCAGCUCGUGCCGUGAGGUGUCGGGUUAAGUCCCAUAACGAGCGCAACCCCUAUCGCCAGUUGCCAUCGGUUGAAGCCGGGCACUCUGUCGAGACUGCCACCGUAAGGUGCGAGGAAGGCGGGGAUGACGUCAAAUCAGCACGGCCCUUACACCCGGGGCGACACACGUGUUACAAUGGCCGGUACAGAGGGCAGCCACGGGGUGACCCGGAGCGAAUCUCUAAAGCCGGUCGUAGUUCGGACUGGAGUCUGCAACCCGACUCCACGAAGUUGGAUUCGCUAGUAAUCGCGCAUCAGCCAUGGCGCGGUGAAUACGUUCCC
Molecule: ribosomal RNA, 1018 nt
Filed under: uncultured bacterium
Lineage: Bacteria
Description: bacterial SSU rRNA
Rfam family: Bacterial small subunit ribosomal RNA
Source: RNAcentral